GCCUUGGUAGCUUAAUUAUUUAGAGCGUGGCGCUGAAGAUGCUAAGGAGGGAUGGAGUCCCCCAGGGCA
RNAcentral lists this transfer RNA (69 nucleotides) under Haliotis diversicolor. RNAcentral describes it as "tRNA-Phe". It matches the Rfam family "tRNA". Rfam says of the family: Transfer RNA (tRNA) molecules are approximately 80 nucleotides in length. Their secondary structure includes four short double-helical elements and three loops (D, anti-codon, and T loops). Further hydrogen bonds mediate the characteristic L-shaped molecular structure. tRNAs have two regions of fundamental functional importance: the anti-codon, which is responsible for specific mRNA codon recognition, and the 3' end, to which the tRNAs corresponding amino acid is attached (by aminoacyl-tRNA synthetases). tRNAs cope with the degeneracy of the genetic code in two manners: having more than one tRNA (with a specific anti-codon) for a particular amino acid; and 'wobble' base-pairing, i.e. permitting non-standard base-pairing at the 3rd anti-codon position. The record is from RNAcentral. RNAcentral also lists the same sequence under 1 other name. Lineage: Eukaryota; Metazoa; Mollusca; Gastropoda; Lepetellida; Haliotidae.